This 483-nucleotide ribosomal RNA is filed under the name uncultured bacterium. Its description in RNAcentral is "partial 16S ribosomal RNA". It matches the Rfam family "Bacterial small subunit ribosomal RNA", at positions 30 to 507 of the family's 1533-position model. The record is from RNAcentral.
AUUGAGCGCUGGCGGCAGGCCUAACACAUGCAAGUCGAGCGGAUGAAGGGAGCUUGCUCCUGGAUUCAGCGGCGGACGGGUGAGUAAUGCCUAGGAAUCUGCCUGGUAGUGGGGAUAACGUCCGGAAACGGGCGCUAAUACCGCAUACGUCCUGAGGGAGAAAGUGGGGGAUCUUCGGACCUCACGCUAUCAGAUGAGCCUAGGUCGGAUUAGCUAGUUGGUGGGGUAAAGGCCUACCAAGGCGACGAUCCGUAACUGGUCUGAGAGGAUGAUCAGUCACACUGGAACUGAGACACGGUCCAGACUCCUACGGGAGGCAGCAGUGGGGAAUAUUGGACAAUGGGCGAAAGCCUGAUCCAGCCAUGCCGCGUGUGUGAAGAAGGUCUUCGGAUUGUAAAGCACUUUAAGUUGGGAGGAAGGGCAGUAAGUUAAUACCUUGCUGUUUUGACGUUACCAACAGAAUAAGCACCGGCUAACUUCGUG